RNAcentral lists this ribosomal RNA (429 nucleotides) under uncultured archaeon. RNAcentral describes it as "bacterial SSU rRNA". It matches the Rfam family "Archaeal small subunit ribosomal RNA", at positions 474 to 903 of the family's 1478-position model. The record is from RNAcentral.
UACCAGCUCUCCGAGUGGUAGGGAUGAUUAUUGGGCUUAAAGCGUCCGUAGCCGGCUUAGCAAGUCUCCUGUUAAAUUCAGCGACCUAAUCGUUGAGCCGCGGGAGACACUACUAGGCUAGGAGGCGGGAGAGGCCGACGGUAUUCUCGGGGGAGGGGUGAAAUCCUAUAAUCCCGGGAGGACCACCAGUGGCGAAGGCUGUCGGCUAGAACGCGCUCGACGGUGAGGGACGAAAGCUGGGGGAGCGAACCGGAUUAGAUACCCGGGUAGUCCCAGCUGUAAACGAUGCGGGCUAGGUGUUGGGGUGGCUACGAGCCACUUCAGUGCCGCAGGGAAGCCAUUAAGCCCGCCGCCUGGGGAGUACGGCCGCAAGGCUGAAACUUAAAGGAAUUGGCGGGGGAGCACCACAAGGCGUGAAGCUUGCGGUUC